Uloborus diversus is the source of this 289-nucleotide long non-coding RNA. RefSeq lists it as uncharacterized. The record is from RefSeq and is a predicted model, not a curated record. The transcript has 3 exons. Lineage: Eukaryota; Metazoa; Arthropoda; Arachnida; Araneae; Uloboridae.
UUUUUUUUUGAAAAAGAUCUCGGUUGUCAGUGAUCCUGAAAAAGAGGAGAAAUGAAAAUGCCUUUCGAAGCAGAGGUUGGGAAUGUCGGGGAUUUCUUAUUCUGCGUUUUGUUGUUUUUGUUUUUGUUUGUGUAUAUCGAUAUUAUUGCCCUCAUGAAGAGGCCCCUAAAGCGAAGAAGUGAAGGCAAUGAAGAAAAAGCUUCAAGAUGUCGAGCUUAAUAAAUCUGCUAGCGUGGAUGUUUUUAAAAAUAUAUCACAACGUGGAUGUCUACCAAAGAAAUCACUAGAA